GUAUUGUAGGAAAGGAGAGAAGGCUAGUGCUCCCCUGGACAAGGAUGAAGGAAACCCUUGGGCCUGCUAACAGUAUUACAGUUAAGGCAGUGUCACCUACUUGUGGCAUCAAUCAGGAGAGACA
Fukomys damarensis (Damara mole-rat) is the source of this 124-nucleotide small nuclear RNA. The record is from Ensembl. Lineage: Eukaryota; Metazoa; Chordata; Mammalia; Rodentia; Bathyergidae.